RNAcentral lists this long non-coding RNA (580 nucleotides) under Salmo salar (Atlantic salmon). RNAcentral's name for it is "lncRNA (ENSSSAG00000102758.1)". The record is from RNAcentral. Lineage: Eukaryota; Metazoa; Chordata; Actinopteri; Salmoniformes; Salmonidae.
CAGCUGAAUAUGGCUGUUGUGUUGGUUGAAUGUUCCAGGCAGGUUCCAGAAUGUUCUUCAGCUGGUGAUCCUUGUAUGGGGAAUGGAAGCUGGUUUAGAAAGGCUGUGGCGAUGUUGGCAGGGAUGUUGGGUUUGGGGGGGCUGUGACUCUGACUCCUUGAGGACAACCAUCUGGUCCUUUCUGCACUCCACAGUCAGGUGGACAACCGUCUGGUUCUGUCUGCACUCCCCAGCCAGGUAGACAACAGUCUGGUUCUGUCUGCACUCCCCAGCCAGGUAGACAACCGUCUGGUUCUGUCUGCACUGUACAGCCAGGUAGACAACCGUCUGGUUCUGUCUGCACUCCCCAGCCAGGUAGACAACCGUCUGGUUCUGUCUGCACUCCCCAGUCAGGUAGACAACCGUCUGGUUCUGUCUGCACUCCACAGUCAGGUGGACAAGCCUCUCGUAUACUUUCUUCACCACCCACUGCUUCAGCCUCUGGCAGAAGAUUUGUUUGUUCUGCAAGUCUCCUGGAAAGACAUGAAGACUGAUGAUGAGGACGUGUAAAACAUGAAGACUGAUGAUGAGGACGUGUAAC